RNAcentral lists this ribosomal RNA (446 nucleotides) under uncultured bacterium. Its description in RNAcentral is "bacterial SSU rRNA". It matches the Rfam family "Bacterial small subunit ribosomal RNA", at positions 330 to 792 of the family's 1533-position model. The record is from RNAcentral.
UCCAGACUCCUACGGGAGGCAGCAGUGGGGGAUAUUGCACAAUGGGGGGAACCCUGAUGCAGCGACGCCGCGUGGGUGAAGGAGCGUUUCGGCGCGUAAAGCCCUAUCGGCAGGGAAGAAGGAGGACGGUACCUGACUAAGAAGCCCCGGAUAACUACGUGCCAGCAGCCGCGGUAAUACGUAGGGGGCAAGCGUUAUCCGGAUUUACUGGGUGUAAAGGGGGCGCAGACGGCAGCGCAAGCCAGGAGUGAAAGCCCGGGGCCCAACCCCGGGACUGCUCUUGGAACUGCGCGGCUGGAGUGCAGGAGGGGCAGGCGGAAUUCCUGGUGUAGCGGUGAAAUGCGUAGAUAUCAGGAGGAACACCGGUGGCGAAGGCGGCCUGCUGGACUGCGACUGACGUUGAGGCCCGAAAGCGUGGGGAGCAAACAGGAUUAGAUACCCUCGUA